RNAcentral lists this ribosomal RNA (287 nucleotides) under uncultured Pseudomonas sp. RNAcentral's name for it is "partial 16S ribosomal RNA". It matches the Rfam family "Bacterial small subunit ribosomal RNA", at positions 1097 to 1382 of the family's 1533-position model. The record is from RNAcentral. Lineage: Bacteria; Pseudomonadati; Pseudomonadota; Gammaproteobacteria; Pseudomonadales; Pseudomonadaceae.
CGCAACCCUUGUCCUUAGUUACCAGCACGUUAUGUGGGCACUCUAAGGAGGACUGCCGGUGGACAAACCGGAGGAAGGUGGGGAUGACGUCAAGUCAUCAUGGCCCUUACGGCCUGGGCUACACACGUGCUACAAUGGUCGGUACAAAGGGUUGCCAAGCCGCGAGGUGGAGCUAAUCCCAUAAAACCGAUCGUAGUCCGGAUCGCAGUCUGCAACUCGACUGCGUGAAGUCGGAAUCGCUAGUAAUCGUGAAUCAGAAUGUCACGGUGAAUACGUUCCCGGGCCUU